This is a long non-coding RNA of Rhipicephalus sanguineus (brown dog tick), 157 nucleotides long. RefSeq lists it as uncharacterized. The transcript has 2 exons. NCBI's taxonomy places the organism in Eukaryota, Metazoa, Arthropoda, Arachnida, Ixodida, Ixodidae. The record is from RefSeq and is a predicted model, not a curated record.
UCCGGUAUCGUUCUCACGUGCAGACGCGUCGAAAACGUUGUUCCGUGGCGCUCCUCGGACGAGCCAUGGCGCCGGCUGCCCAUAGGAAGAACAGAGCCAGUGCCGAUGCCCCGUCUAAGCCCGAGCACUUGAGAGAAAUAAAAAAAAGCUAAGCGGC